GACGAACGCUGGCGGCGUGCUAUACAUGCAAGUAGAACGCUGAAGGAGGAGCUUGCUCUCUGGAUGAGUUGCGAACGGUGAGUAACGCGUAGGUAACCUGCCUGGUAGCGGGGGAUAACUAUUGGAAACGAUAGCUAAUACCGCAUAAGAGUAGAUGUUGCAUGACAUUUGCUUAAAAGGUGCAAUUGCAUCACUACCAGAUGGACCUGCGUUGUAUUAGCUAGUUGGUGAGGUAACGGCUCACCAAGGCGACGAUACAUAGCCGACCUGAGAGGGUGAUCGGCCACACUGGGACUGAGACACGGCCCAGACUCCUACGGGAGGCAGCAGUAGGGAAUCUUCGGCAAUGGACGGAAGUCUGACCGAGCAACGCCGCGUGAGUGAAGAAGGUUUUCGGAUCGUAAAGCUCUGUUGUAAGAGAAGAACGAGUGUGAGAGUGGAAAGUUCACACUGUGACGGUAUCUUACCAGAAAGGGACGGCUAACUACGUGCCAGCAGCCGCGGUAAUACGUAGGUCCCGAGCGUUGUCCGGAUUUAUUGGGGCGUAAAGCGAGCGCAGGCGGUUAGAUAAGUCUGAAGUUAAAAGGCUGUGGGCUUAACCAUAGUACGCUUUGGAAACUGUUAACUUGAGUGCAAGAGGGGAGAGUGGAAUCCCAUGUGUAGCGGUGAAAUGCGUAGAUAUAUGGAGGGACACCGUGGGCGAAAGCGGCUCUCUGGCUUGUAACUGACGGCUGAGGCUCGAAAGCGUGGGGAGCAAACAGGAUAGGAUACCCUGGUAGUCCAAUGGCGAAUUCCACAGUGGGUGUCAGGCUUAUCGAUACCGUCGACCUCGAGGAGAGAAACAGAAACAGAGGUUGUGGUCCCGUUAGUA
RNAcentral lists this ribosomal RNA (871 nucleotides) under uncultured Streptococcus sp. Its description in RNAcentral is "bacterial SSU rRNA". It matches the Rfam family "Bacterial small subunit ribosomal RNA". Lineage: Bacteria; Bacillati; Bacillota; Bacilli; Lactobacillales; Streptococcaceae. The record is from RNAcentral.